RNAcentral lists this unclassified non-coding RNA (1537 nucleotides) under Schistocerca americana (American grasshopper). RNAcentral describes it as "ribose-phosphate pyrophosphokinase 1, transcript variant X3". The record is from RNAcentral. Lineage: Eukaryota; Metazoa; Arthropoda; Insecta; Orthoptera; Acrididae.
UUGACCCAAAGUUUAUUACGAAAUCAGAGGUCACUAGAGAUAAACCCUGUCAUAGCUUUUCUGAAGGAUGAUUACAGGCAGUUCAGCUUCUGAGGAGGAUCCAGUGCGUGCGAGAAGUCUGAUCCGUGCAAACCUUGAGAAGCCUAGUGUGUUGCUUCGGAGUAGGAUGCCGAACAUCAAAGUUUUUAGUGGUACAUCGCAUCCAGACCUUGCGCAGCGGAUUGUCGACCGUCUUGGAAUAGAUCUGGGAAAAGUCGUUACUAAGAAAUUUAGUAACCUUGAGACAUGCGUAGAGAUUGGAGAAUCAGUCCGUGGGGAAGAUGUGUAUAUUGUUCAAAGUGGAAGUGGCGAAGUAAACGAUAACUUAAUGGAAUUGUUGAUUAUGAUAAACGCUUGUAAAAUAGCGUCUGCUUCUCGAGUGACUGCUGUCAUUCCAUGUUUCCCAUACGCAAGACAGGAUAAGAAAGACAAGGCUGGUGGAGAUGGGGAAAGUAACGGAAAUGAUGUUACUCCUUUCAGAUUGAAACCCAACAACGAAUGGAAGUUUCGGAGCCGAGCACCGAUAUCAGCCAAGUUGGUGGCAAAUAUGUUAUCUGUGGCUGGUGCUGAUCACAUUAUUACAAUGGAUCUCCAUGCAUCUCAAAUACAGGGAUUCUUUGAUAUCCCUGUAGAUAAUCUGUAUGCAGAACCAGCUGUUUUGAAAUGGAUUAAAGAAAACAUAGUAGAAUGGCGUAACAGUAUUAUAGUAUCACCAGAUGCUGGUGGUGCCAAAAGGGUUACAUCCAUAGCUGAUAGGCUGAAUGUUGAAUUCGCACUUAUCCAUAAAGAACGCAAAAAAGCAAAUGAAGUUGCAGCAAUGGUGCUGGUUGGAGAUGUGAAAGACAGAGUUGCCAUAUUGGUAGAUGACAUGGCUGACACUUGUGGUACAAUUUGUCAUGCUGCUGAAAAGCUUCUGGAAGCUGGUGCAACCAAGGUUUAUGCUAUCUUAACUCAUGGUAUAUUUUCGGGGCCUGCAAUAUCAAGAAUAAACAAUGCAUGUUUCGAAGCAGUAGUUGUAACCAACACUAUCCCACAAGAGCAACACAUGAAGGACUGUCCUAGGAUACAGUGCAUUGAUGUGUCAAUGAUGUUUGCUGAAGCAGUCCGUAGGACACACAAUGGAGAAUCAGUAUCAUAUCUAUUUUCAAAUGUACCAUACUGAAGAAAUAUAGAUACUGUGGACAUGGAAUGUUGAACGAGGUUAUAAAAGAAUCUCAUAACCAAAAGUAGAUAAUUACUGAAGAAUCAAUAAAGAGAAUAUUGUUCAUAGUUGUAAUAAGCUGGCUUUCAGUUUUAUUUGAGACCUGUCUUUUACAAAGAACAUUUGAGAAACCUUGUAAUUGAUUGCUUGUCAGCAAACUUAUUUUGUGUAUGUGAUGACUUAACAGUUAUUCUGUUUAAAAUGAACUGUCUAAAGAUGUUUUUAUAUGCAUUGUUGUACACUUUGUAUCAUUUUACUUAUACUUCGUCUGCUGAAUAAAUAUCAGUUCUUAUAUUC